CUCAUGCAGACACAAUAGACAGAAGCUUAUCUCUCUGGCUUAGCAUCCCUAAACGAGCGCUGACUGAAUCAUCGCAUCCACCACUGAUCUAAAAUGACGGGAGACUGAUCUUUAACAGCCGUCUUAAGAACACAUCGACACUGGCCACCUGCAAACAACUCGAUCAAGGGGGGGAAAAAAAAUCAUCUUAUUACAAAGAAUGCCGUCUAAUCCGUUGCAGUAAAGUUGCGCCAGAAAGGAUCUGGAAACAAAAUGAAGAGGAUUACAAAAGGAUUACCUGUGUUCCGACUCAUGGAUGGAGAAUAUGACACCCGAUGUUGAGGACUUCUGUUGGAUGGAGGCCAUAAAGGGGACAGAUUUGUUGCCGAGCAUGGGCCAGCAGACUCAAUUUUUUGCAGAUCACUCAACGUUCUGGCAUCUGUGCUGUGCCAGAGUUGAAACACCUUUGUGCCAAACUAUUUCGGCGACUCCUUGAAAUGUUUCUCUUAUUUUGGCAACAUCGGCACAUAAAGCUCGCCAGCGCGUCGGCCGUGCAUCAAGUCCACGGCAGACGGUCCCUGAGGAGCUAGCCUGUUUUCGCAUGCUCUUGGGGGGACUUUGCGGGAUCCAGUUAAAACUUUGGGCUGGAGCUAAAGAUACGGACGACUGACUGUGACUACAAAAACAAAGGAGGGUAGCAUAUGGCAGUAGUGCUGCUUUUAAAAUCCACCAAGGUACAAAGAAACAAAGACCAAAAUGAAUGUCAACUGCAGUUGACAUGUCACGUUGACUACAGCAAUGAGGGGGGGGGAUGUUUGAUGCGGCCCAAAACAACAACUGAAUAAUGUAGUACUUCUGCGCAAUAUACAGCAGAAUGGCAAAAAAAAAUGUACAACAAAGCUUUUAGAAAACCAAAGAAAGUUAACAUUGUUCGUGCAAAACCAAAAGAGACAGAGAGCAGCACUCGUCUCAAACCACUGUCAAGCUCUCAGCACGCCUUGGCUCACAUUUGAAAAAUCUCUUGCCUGAUAAAAAAUUCAUAAAAUCCGAAUUGAUAAAAAUGUGAUGACUCCCGUUGAAGAGCCUUCCCCCUUUUGCAAGUAAGUAACUUGUAUGUAAACAUGAAACGCAAAACCUCAUUGUGCCAAGUAAUUGGUGUCGUGUGGCGCGUCACACAUCUAAUGAGGCACAAUCUCAGCAGGUUGUCAUCUGACGACGUCGUCAACUCUUAGCAACAAUCCACACAUUCAACAUUGUUGGAUUCUUGUUAAGCUGUGAGAAAUUAAGGCUGCCCCGUCUGAGAGCGCUGUCACUUGAAGAACAAUCAGGCAGAGCCUUGAUGCCAAACCCAGCUGAGGGAAUACUGCUUCAUGAAAGCCCCUGCAUUUUUCUUCUCUUCAGAAGUGAAAAAUGUUUUUAAACUAAAGCUUAAAGCUCAGUUUUCAACUUCUACUACUCCCUUUGAACAUAAACUGUCACUUUCUACUGCCUUUUUUUAUAUACACCGUGUUUGUGUGUAUAAAUAAUGUGGUUUUGUUUUUAACGAAUGCGCAGAAGAGUAUCUGAAUAUAAUUUAAUGCACAAAUAAAAUCCGCUCCUCAACUAGAAAA
This is a long non-coding RNA of Syngnathus typhle (broad-nosed pipefish), 1589 nucleotides long. RefSeq lists it as uncharacterized. Lineage: Eukaryota; Metazoa; Chordata; Actinopteri; Syngnathiformes; Syngnathidae. The transcript is spliced from 2 exons. The record is from RefSeq and is a predicted model, not a curated record.